AUCUGUAGCCAGCUGCAGCACGAACUCCAGGACGCAGUGUGUGUAUGAUAUGUAGGACCAUAUAUUAAUAGUAUAGUAAGCAACUGUGGUAUAAAUUGGCUAUUAUAUUGGCUAUAGAUAAAUUGGAGCUAGUAGUGGGCUAUACUAUUAAAUUUGCUCUAAUAGUAUAUCCCGAUACUAACUCCAAAUCAUCUAUAGCCAAUGUAAUAGCCAAUUCAUACAAUAGUUGCUUACUAUACUAUUAUACCUGGUCUCAUAUGUCAUAUACACAUUACGUUUUGGAGUCCGUGGUGCAGCUGGCUAUAGAUAU
Molecule: unclassified non-coding RNA, 310 nt
Filed under: Oryza sativa (Asian cultivated rice)
Lineage: Eukaryota; Viridiplantae; Streptophyta; Magnoliopsida; Poales; Poaceae
Description: partial microRNA MIR487a precursor
Source: RNAcentral